Chenopodium quinoa (quinoa) is the source of this 1511-nucleotide long non-coding RNA. RefSeq lists it as uncharacterized. The transcript has 3 exons. The record is from RefSeq and is a predicted model, not a curated record. Lineage: Eukaryota; Viridiplantae; Streptophyta; Magnoliopsida; Caryophyllales; Amaranthaceae.
ACAAGUCAAGUAAAAAAAAAACAGAGGAAGUAUAAUUUAUCUAAUAGGAGAUAGCAUCCAAUCAUGAUAUAAUAUAGAUAAUAAAGGAAAUCAUCAAGCCACACUACUACAAAAACACCCUACGGAGUCGCCCUUUUAAAGUCGCCUCAAAUUGAUAUGUGAUACGUAAGGUUUUAGAGUCGCUUCAUACAAAGCAUGUGACACAUAAAAGGCAUCUAAAAAUAAAUUGAAAGUCAUAAACGUCACCUACACUAUAAUAGGCGACACGUUACCUAUACGCAUCCCGUCUUUCAUCAUGUGUGACUCAUAAAGUAUUACUUUACGAGUCGCCUAUAGUCUUGUAUUAUUACAGGCGACACCUUUGCCCAUUUUUUAUUGACAGCAAGCAAAAACCCUAGAAACCUCAUUCAUUCCCUUAUCUUUUUUGUCCCUCUCUCAUCGGCUCCUUCAUUCAUUCCCUUAGUCUUUUUGUUCCUUCCUCUCUUCGCCUCUUACCUUACUCCUCCAUACUCAACAUUGUUCGCGACACUCUCAUCUCCAUCUUCUUCCUAGAGUCUCUACUCUCCAACAUUCAAGAUCUGCUCAAGAUCUGAAUAUUUCCCCCAUUUCAUCACCAAACUCACUUCAAUUACGGCUCAAAAACCUAAUAUUUUCCCCAAAAGUUCAUCAACAAUUUCCAGAUUCUGCACAUUUGUAGCGAAUCAAUCUUCAUCUUCAAUCAAUCAGACAAAUUGAUAAGAUAAGCAAUCAUCAAUGGGAACAACGACAUUGAUAGUAGGAUUAAUCAGAAAGCUAAAGAAGGUUCUAGAAUCUCGACUCGAUUCUCCGAAACUUGUCACUUCUCUCUCCACACUUAUACAUUCUACUCUGACAACUCUCCUCAGGCGCGUCGUAACCUCGGAUCUACCAUUAAGAAGCGCAUCUUUCUGUCAAUCAUGACUUUCUCAGCGCUUCCGAUGUGUCGCAGCAGGCAUUAGAUCAAUUUGAAGAGGAGGUUAAUGCAAUUGUAGAAUGUUGUGAUAGGUUGAGGAUGUUAGUUUGAAAUUCAAAGAGAUGCAUGAAAACAUGGGUCUUGCACUUUUGCCUGGAUCAUAUGAGAAUCUCAUAAAAAACUGUCUUGACUCCACUAAGGUACGCACAAACCAUAGAGUACUGAGAUGGUUCUUCUUAUAGUAUAUUUGUCCUGAUGCACUCAAUGCCAUAUGUCAUGCUUGUGAGGAGAGCUGUGAAUUUAUAUUAGUAUGCUUUGUUUCAAGUCGUAGUUCUUAUGCUAGCUAUGGUCAUUUCAUUUAAUUCAUUGCUAAGUUUAUGUAAAGUAAUGUAAUGGUUGGAUCUCUUAAUGAUAUUGUUGUAGUACAGAGAGGUUUUUGUGAUGCUGACCUUAUCAUUUUGAUUGUUAAACUCAUGGUGAAAUGUAGUGUGGAAGCAUGUUAUAAUGUUUGGAGGAUCAUCUGUGGGUUUUAAUGAUAUGUUUUUGGUAAUUUAAAGCACUGCUAUGAUUGUAUCUUAAA